RNAcentral lists this long non-coding RNA (250 nucleotides) under Erythranthe guttata (spotted monkey flower). RNAcentral describes it as "long non-coding RNA (EGUT_LNC001389)". The record is from RNAcentral. Lineage: Eukaryota; Viridiplantae; Streptophyta; Magnoliopsida; Lamiales; Phrymaceae.
CUCUAGCUGUCACAUUUUUCACACCAUCCAAAGAAAUAAGAAAAUUGAAAUUCUCGUCAGCAUAUUUGUAUUUUUUGCCCCUGACGAAAAAUACCAUCAAAUAACAUUAGAAAUUUGUAAAAUUCAACGCAUUCCAUCAUUCCAAAUGGACUGAAACUCAAUGACCCGCCCGCAUAAGAAGAAUGAAUGAAAACAUAGGCACAAAUUCCAGCCAAUGACUAUAUACAAAUGAAAAUGCAAAACUAAAAAG